UUGCCUCAGGAAGCCGAGUUCAUGUGGAUCCCCCACCAUGGCUUGGGCCCCUCUGCUCCUCACGCUGCUCACUUACUGCGUUGGUUUCAGUUCCCAGCAGCUCCAGUCACUGAAGGCGUCUGAGUUAGUGUCUCCUGGAGGGACCAUGACCCUCUCUUGCAGCCUGAGCAGUGGGGCCCUCACUGAUAAUAAUUACCCGCUCUGGGUUCAACAGAAACUGGGGAAUGUUCCUCGGCUGAUCAUGUACAGCACGAGUACCAGGCCCUCGGGGAUCCCAGAGCGUUUCACUGGCUCCCGAUCGGGUAACACCAUGUCCUUGACCAUCACGGGGGCCCUGGCCGAGGAUGAUGCUGAUUAUUACUGUUCUGUGUGGACUGGGAGUGCUCAUCACAGCGGUUCCAGCUACCGGUUCACUUUGACUCAGCCACUCACUAUGUCAGUGACUCCAGGAGAAAGUGUCCAACUUGCAUGUGUUCUGAGCAGUGGAGACAGCAUCAGCAGUAGCUACAUACGCUGGUACCAGCAGAAGCAAGGAGAGAAACCAAGAUACCUGCUGUAUUACAAGGAUGACUCUACCCAGGUGAACAAGUCACCUCUUAACCUUCUCUUUGACAAGCUAAAUAGUGAGAUGGAAAGUAACUCAGCCGACAAUUAG
Chelonoidis abingdonii (Abingdon island giant tortoise) is the source of this 655-nucleotide non-coding RNA. Lineage: Eukaryota; Metazoa; Chordata; Testudines; Testudinidae. The record is from the annotation of a RefSeq genome assembly.